Molecule: ribosomal RNA, 1446 nt
Filed under: uncultured bacterium
Lineage: Bacteria
Description: 16S ribosomal RNA
Rfam family: Bacterial small subunit ribosomal RNA
Source: RNAcentral
AAUGAACGCUGGCGGCGUGCUUUACACAUGCAAGUCGAGCGAGGCCAGGGGGCAACUCCUGAGUCGAGCGGCGAACGGGUGAGUAACGCGUGGAUAACCUGCCCAGAGGUGGGGGAUAACCCGGGGAAACUCGGGCUAAUACCGCAUGAUACCGAGAGGUCAAAGGCGGCUCGCAAGGGCUGUCGCCAUUGGAGGGGUCCGCGUCCGAUUAGCUAGUUGGUAGGGUAAUGGCCUACCAAGGCCACGAUCGGUAGCCGGCCUGAGAGGGUGAUCGGCCACACUGGAACUGAGACACGGUCCAGACUCCUACGGGAGGCAGCAGUGGGGAAUUUUGCGCAAUGGGCUAAAGCCUGACGCAGCGACGCCGCGUGGAGGAGGAAGUCCUUCGGGAUGUAAACUCCUUUUGCCAGGGAAGAAACGCCCGCAAGGGCUAUGACGGUACCUGGUGAAUAAGCCCCGGCUAACUACGUGCCAGCAGCCGCGGUAAUACGUAGGGGGCGAGCGUUGUCCGAAGUUACUGGGCGUAAAGCGCGCGUAGGCGGGGGAUUAAGUGAGAGGUGAAAGGCUGGGGCUCAACCUCAUGCAGUGCCUCUCAUACUGGUCUUCUUGAGGGCGGUAGGGAGAAGUGGAAUGGCUGGUGUAGCGGUGAAAUGCGUAGAUAUCAGUCGGAACACCGGUGGCGAAGGCGGCUUCUUGGGCCGUUCCUGACGCUGAGGCGCGAAAGCUGGGGGAGCGAACGGGAUUAGAUACCCCGGUAGUCCCAGCCGUAAACGAUGGAUACUAGGUGUUGGGGGUAUCGACCCCUCCAGUGCCGCAGCUAACGCAUUAAGUAUCCCGCCUGGGGAGUACGGCCGCAAGGUUGAAACUCAAAGAAAUUGACGGGGGCCCGCACAAGCGGUGGAGUAUGUGGCUCAAUUCGAUGCAACGCGAAGAACCUUACCAGGCCUUGACAUGCAUCUCUAAACCGGUGAAAGCCGGCGAGUGUCGAAAGACACAAUUUGCACAGGUGCUGCAUGGCUGUCGUCAGCUCGUGUCGUGAGAUGUUGGGUUAAGUCCCGCAACGAGCGCAACCCCUGUGAACUGUUGCCACCGGAGCGAGAGCUCCGAGCACUCUGUUCAGACUGCCUCGCUUAAACGAGGAGGAAGGUGGGGACGACGUCAAGUCAGUAUGGCCCUUACGGCCUGGGCUGCACACGUACUACAAUGCCCAGUACAGAACGAUCCGAUACCGCGAGGUGGAGGAAAUCACUCAAAACUGGGCCCAGUUCGGAUUGGAGGCUGCAAUUCGCCUCCAUGAAGCCGGAAUCGCUAGUAAUGGCGCAUCAGCUACGGCGCCGUGAAUACGUUCCCGGGCCUUGUACACACCGCCCGUCACAUCAUGAAAGCCGUUUGUACCCGAAGUCGCCCCUUAAAAGGCGCCGAAGGUAUGGAUGGUGAUUGGGAUGA